RNAcentral lists this ribosomal RNA (252 nucleotides) under uncultured bacterium. RNAcentral describes it as "partial 16S ribosomal RNA". It matches the Rfam family "Bacterial small subunit ribosomal RNA", at positions 524 to 776 of the family's 1533-position model. The record is from RNAcentral.
UACGGAGGAUGCGAGCGUUAUCCGGAUUUAUUGGGUUUAAAGGGUGCGUAGGCGGACUGUCAAGUCAGCGGUAAAAUUGAGAGGCUCAACCUCUUCCCGCCGUUGAAACUGGUGGUCUUGAGUGGAUGAGAAGUACGCGGAAUGCGUGGUGUAGCGGUGAAAUGCAUAGAUAUCACGCAGAACUCCGAUUGCGAAGGCAGCGUACCGGCAUCCAACUGACGCUGAGGCACGGAAGCGUGGGGAUCAAACAGG